Molecule: ribosomal RNA, 311 nt
Filed under: uncultured Glomeromycotina
Lineage: Eukaryota; Fungi; Glomeromycota
Description: LSU rRNA
Source: RNAcentral
UUGAAAGGGAAACGAUUGAAGUCAGUCAUGCCGGCGGGAAUCAACUUAGGGGAAACUCUGAGUGCACUUCUUCGCUUGGCAGGUUAGCGUCGAUUUUGGAUGUCAUAAAAUGACUGGGGGAAGGUAGCUCUUUCGGGAGUGUUGAGCCCUUAGUAGAUGUGAUGUCUGGGAUCGAGGAUUGCAACGGGUACCUUUUGGGCUAGCCGCCUAUUCUCUAAUACGAAGUUGGGUUAUAGACAGCAUGCUGACUGUGAUCUGAUUUUCGGUUAAAAGAUUAGAGCGAGUGUAAAUUCGUUAAGGAUGUUGACGUA